CCCUUAGAUGUUCUGGGCCGCACGCGCGCUACACUGAUGCAUUCAACGAGCCUAUCCUUGACCGACAGGUCCGGGUAAUCUUUGAAUCUGCAUCGUGACGGGGAUAGAUUAUUGCAAUUAUCAAUCUUCAACGAGGAAUGCCUAGUAGGCGCAAGUCAUCAGCUUGCGUCGAUUACGUCCCUGCCCUUUGUACACACCGCCCGUCGCUCCUACCGAUUGGGUGUGCUGGUGAAAUGUUCGGAUCGGCCGUUUGUCGCGGUUUCCGCGUCAUGUGGCUGAGAAGUUCAUUAAACCCUCCCACCUAGAGGAAGGAGAAGUCGUAACA
This 325-nucleotide ribosomal RNA is filed under the name uncultured eukaryote. Its description in RNAcentral is "partial 18S ribosomal RNA". It matches the Rfam family "Eukaryotic small subunit ribosomal RNA", at positions 1470 to 1796 of the family's 1831-position model. The record is from RNAcentral.